AAAUGCGAUAAGUAAUGUGAAUUGCAGAAUUCGGUGAAUCAUCGAAUCUUUGAACGCACAUUGCGCCCGCCAGUAUUCUGGCGGGCAUGCCUGUUCGAGCGUCAUUUCAACCAUCAAGCCCCGGGCUUGUGUUGGGGACCUGCGGCUGCCGCAGGCCCUGAAAACCAGUGGCGGGCUCGCUGUCACACCGAGCGUAGUAGAUUCUCAUCUCGCUCAGGGCGUGCUGCGGGUUCCGGCCGUAAAACAGCCUUAUUUUACCCAAGGUUGACCUCGGAUCAGGUAGGAAGACCCGCUGAACUUAAGC
Molecule: unclassified non-coding RNA, 304 nt
Filed under: plant metagenome
Description: partial contains 5.8S ribosomal RNA, internal transcribed spacer 2, and large subunit ribosomal RNA
Rfam family: 5.8S ribosomal RNA (bases 1-104)
Source: RNAcentral